UACGAAGGGGGCUAGCGUUGUUCGGAAUUACUGGGCGUAAAGCGCGCGUAGGCGGACUGACAAGUCGGGGGUGAAAUCCCGAGGCUCAACCUCGGAACUGCCUUCGAUACUGUCAGUCUUGAGGUCGGGAGAGGUGAGUGGAACUCCGAGUGUAGAGGUGAAAUUCGUAGAUAUUCGGAAGAACACCAGUGGCGAAGGCGGCUCACUGGCCCGAUUCUGACGCUGAGGCGCGAAAGCGUGGGGAGCAAACAGG
Molecule: ribosomal RNA, 253 nt
Filed under: uncultured bacterium
Lineage: Bacteria
Description: partial 16S ribosomal RNA
Rfam family: Bacterial small subunit ribosomal RNA
Source: RNAcentral